This 2593-nucleotide ribosomal RNA is filed under the name human gut metagenome. RNAcentral describes it as "bacterial LSU rRNA". It matches the Rfam family "Bacterial large subunit ribosomal RNA", at positions 209 to 2826 of the family's 2925-position model. The record is from RNAcentral.
CCCCGAGGAAAAGAAAUCAACCGAGAUUCCCCCAGUAGCGGCGAGCGAACGGGGAGGAGCCCAGAGCCUGAAUCAGUGUGUGUGUUAGUGGAAGCGUCUGGAAAGGCGUGCGAUACAGGGUGACAGCCCCGUACACAAAAAUGCACAUAUUGUGAGCUCGAUGAGUAGGGCGGGACACGUGGUAUCCUGUCUGAAUAUGGGGGGACCAUCCUCCAAGGCUAAAUACUCCUGACUGACCGAUAGUGAACCAGUACCGUGAGGGAAAGGCGAAAAGAACCCCGGCGAGGGGAGUGAAAAAGAACCUGAAACCGUGUACGUACAAGCAGUGGGAGCCUCUUAAUGGGGUGACUGCGUACCUUUUGUAUAAUGGGUCAGCGACUUAUAUUCUGUAGCAAGGUUAACCGAAUAGGGGAGCCGAAGGGAAACCGAGUCUUAACUGGGCGUUAAGUUGCAGGGUAUAGACCCGAAACCCGGUGAUCUAGCCAUGGGCAGGUUGAAGGUUGGGUAACACUAACUGGAGGACCGAACCGACUAAUGUUGAAAAAUUAGCGGAUGACUUGUGGCUGGGGGUGAAAGGCCAAUCAAACCGGGAGAUAGCUGGUUCUCCCCGAAAGCUAUUUAGGUAGCGCCUCGUGAAUUCAUCUCCGGGGGUAGAGCACUGUUUCGGCAAGGGGGUCAUCCCGACUUACCAACCCGAUGCAAACUGCGAAUACCGGAGAAUGUUAUCACGGGAGACACACGGCGGGUGCUAACGUCCGUCGUGAAGAGGGAAACAACCCAGACCGCCAGCUAAGGUCCCAAAGUCAUGGUUAAGUGGGAAACGAUGUGGGAAGGCCCAGACAGCCAGGAUGUUGGCUUAGAAGCAGCCAUCAUUUAAAGAAAGCGUAAUAGCUCACUGGUCGAGUCGGCCUGCGCGGAAGAUGUAACGGGGCUAAACCAUGCACCGAAGCUGCGGCAGCGACACUAUGUGUUGUUGGGUAGGGGAGCGUUCUGUAAGCCUGUGAAGGUGGCCUGUGAGGGUUGCUGGAGGUAUCAGAAGUGCGAAUGCUGACAUAAGUAACGAUAAAGCGGGUGAAAAGCCCGCUCGCCGGAAGACCAAGGGUUCCUGUCCAACGUUAAUCGGGGCAGGGUGAGUCGACCCCUAAGGCGAGGCCGAAAGGCGUAGUCGAUGGGAAACAGGUUAAUAUUCCUGUACUUGGUGUUACUGCGAAGGGGGGACGGAGAAGGCUAUGUUGGCCGGGCGACGGUUGUCCCGGUUUAAGCGUGUAGGCUGGUUUUCCAGGCAAAUCCGGAAAACCAAGGCUGAGGCGUGAUGACGAGGCACUACGGUGCUGAAGCGACAAAUGCCCUGCUUCCAGGAAAAGCCUCUAAGCAUCAGGUAACAUCAAAUCGUACCCCAAACCGACACAGGUGGUCAGGUAGAGAAUACCAAGGCGCUUGAGAGAACUCGGGUGAAGGAACUAGGCAAAAUGGUGCCGUAACUUCGGGAGAAGGCACGCUGAUAUGUAGGUGAAGCGACUUGCUCGUGGAGCUGAAAUCAGUCGAAGAUACCAGCUGGCUGCAACUGUUUAUUAAAAACACAGCACUGUGCAAACACGAAAGUGGACGUAUACGGUGUGACGCCUGCCCGGUGCCGGAAGGUUAAUUGAUGGGGUUAGCGGUAACGCGAAGCUCUUGAUCGAAGCCCCGGUAAACGGCGGCCGUAACUAUAACGGUCCUAAGGUAGCGAAAUUCCUUGUCGGGUAAGUUCCGACCUGCACGAAUGGCGUAAUGAUGGCCAGGCUGUCUCCACCCGAGACUCAGUGAAAUUGAACUCGCUGUGAAGAUGCAGUGUACCCGCGGCAAGACGGAAAGACCCCGUGAACCUUUACUAUAGCUUGACACUGAACAUUGAGCCUUGAUGUGUAGGAUAGGUGGGAGGCUUUGAAGUGUGGACGCCAGUCUGCAUGGAGCCGACCUUGAAAUACCACCCUUUAAUGUUUGAUGUUCUAACGUUGGCCCGUAAUCCGGGUUGCGGACAGUGUCUGGUGGGUAGUUUGACUGGGGCGGUCUCCUCCUAAAGAGUAACGGAGGAGCACGAAGGUUGGCUAAUCCUGGUCGGACAUCAGGAGGUUAGUGCAAUGGCAUAAGCCAGCUUGACUGCGAGCGUGACGGCGCGAGCAGGUGCGAAAGCAGGUCAUAGUGAUCCGGUGGUUCUGAAUGGAAGGGCCAUCGCUCAACGGAUAAAAGGUACUCCGGGGAUAACAGGCUGAUACCGCCCAAGAGUUCAUAUCGACGGCGGUGUUUGGCACCUCGAUGUCGGCUCAUCACAUCCUGGGGCUGAAGUAGGUCCCAAGGGUAUGGCUGUUCGCCAUUUAAAGUGGUACGCGAGCUGGGUUUAGAACGUCGUGAGACAGUUCGGUCCCUAUCUGCCGUGGGCGCUGGAGAACUGAGGGGGGCUGCUCCUAGUACGAGAGGACCGGAGUGGACGCAUCACUGGUGUUCGGGUUGUCAUGCCAAUGGCACUGCCCGGUAGCUAAAUGCGGAAGAGAUAAGUGCUGAAAGCAUCUAAGCACGAAACUUGCCCCGAGAUGAGUUCUCCCUGACUCCUUGA